This 465-nucleotide ribosomal RNA is filed under the name uncultured bacterium. RNAcentral's name for it is "partial 16S ribosomal RNA". It matches the Rfam family "Bacterial small subunit ribosomal RNA", at positions 28 to 507 of the family's 1533-position model. The record is from RNAcentral.
GACGAACGCUGGCGGCGUGCUUAACACAUGCAAGUCGAACGGAAAGGCCCCCUUGUGGGGUACUCGAGUGGCGAACGGGUGAGUAACACGUGAGUAACCUACUCUUGACUUUGGGAUAACUUCAUGAAACUGGGGCUAAUACCGGAUAGGAGCUCCUGCUGCAUGGUGGGGGUUGGAAAGUUUCGGCGGUUGGGGAUGGACUCGCGGCUUAUCAGCUUCUUGGUGGGGUAGUGGCUCACCAAGGCUUUGACGGGUAGCCGGCCUGAGAGGGUGACCGGCCACAUUGGGACUGAGAUACGGCCCAGACUCCUACGGGAGGCAGCAGUGGGGAAUAUUGCACAAUGGGCGGAAGCCUGAUGCAGCAACGCCGCGUGCGGGAUGACGGCCUUCGGGUUGUAAACCGCUUUCGCCUGUGACGAAGCGUGAGUGACGGUAAUGGGUAAAGAAGCACCGGCUAACUACGUG